CCUAGGCCAGUCUGAACUACAUAGGGAGACCCUGUCUCAAAAACACCAAAAAAAACAACAAAAAGAGUUGGCAUCUAAUUCAAUUCCAAAAUCCUGGCUGUGGCGUCAGGGCGAGGCUGGUGACUGACCAAGGGUGUGGGAGAACACACACACACACACACACACACACACACACACACAAACAUGCACGCGGGCAUACACACGUACAUACACGCAGGCUUAGGGUGGGUGUUAGUCACCGUCCAGAUGGCCCGACACUGGGAUGGCCCCAGAACAGACGAGGCGUGCAGAGCAGGAGGAGUUGUCACCAAGGAGACGCUGGUGAAUUCUUUGCCGCCGAAAGCUCUCCACCCUCUGUAGCGUCGUCCGAGCGUCCACCUCCUGACCCGUGUAAGUGGUCGCAGCCCUGUGCCGCUUCGUGUUCGGCUCCAGGCUCGUCAGCUGGGACACUCGCUGCUCCCCCUCAGCCCAGGCACUGCCAUCCCGCUGUCCCUCUGGCCUGACCCACAUGCCUGCAAGUUCCUGGCUGUGUCCUCGGCACCUGAGCUUGCAUGACCCGGCGCCAGGGAGUGAGUGAGACGAAAGGCUUGGGUUUUAGAAGCCCCGUUCCGGGUGUGCGGCAGUGUUCUGUGGCCGUGGGCGGAUGCAGACAGGGUCUCAAUAUGUAUUCCAGGCUGGCCUUGAGCUCACAGUGAUCCUCCUGCCUCAGCCUCCACCGCCGUGCCUGGUGAAAUCUGGAGUUGGACUGUGAAAUCUCUCCCUUGUGACAAAGGCUUGGCUUUGUUUCAGAACGUGCUGUGGGUGACUCAAGGUCACCUGUCAGCCUGAUUGAGCCCCUGGGCCACCACUCCUUGGUCUUGGCAGAGAGAAAAAUUAAAGCUGCUCUCAAGGACCACUGAAAAUGAAAGGUGGUUCCGAAGUGAAUUGAAGGCAGGAUUCUAGGAUGUGACUGUGGACUUCACGUCUCUCUUGGGAACAGGCCGGAUGACACAAUGGUCUCGUGCACUGUGCCCGGAGCGUCGGAGGCUGGGACCGAGGUGCCCGAGGUCCGGCUGUUCCGUCUCGGCGAGCGCCCCCUGGAGCCUGGAGGACCUGGGCGCGUCUCGGCCGGUCCCGUUGUUUCUCAGAGCCGUGGAAAAGAACUAUUAAUUUUUAAAGGAUAAAAAUGAAAUUGUCAGACUAAUGCAUAAACAAUUCUAUAAAAUUCAGAUCAUAGAGCAA
Molecule: non-coding RNA, 1221 nt
Organism: Heterocephalus glaber (naked mole-rat)
Lineage: Eukaryota; Metazoa; Chordata; Mammalia; Rodentia; Bathyergidae
Source: RefSeq, a predicted model, not a curated record